Molecule: ribosomal RNA, 253 nt
Filed under: uncultured bacterium
Lineage: Bacteria
Description: partial 16S ribosomal RNA
Rfam family: Bacterial small subunit ribosomal RNA
Source: RNAcentral
UACAGAGGUCUCAAGCGUUGUUCGGAUUCAUUGGGCGUAAAGGGUGUGUAGGUGGCGCGCUAAGUCGGGUGUGAAAUUUCGGAGCUUAACUCCGAAACUGCAUUCGAUACUGGCGUGCUUGAGGACUGGAGAGGAGACUGGAAUUCAUGGUGUAGCAGUGAAAUGCGUAGAGAUCAUGAGGAAGACCAGUGGCGAAGGCGGGUCUCUGGGCCGAUACUGACGCUGAGGAGCGAAAGCGUGGGGAGCGAACGGG